GAGCGCUGCACUAACGCAGGAUCCGGCUGCCGAAGGUCCUCGCCAGCAGGAUGAAGUUAAAGGAAGUAGAUCGUACAGCCAUGCAGGCAUGGAGCCCUGCCCAGAAUCACCCCAUUUACCUAGCAACAGGAACAUCUGCUCAGCAAUUGGAUGCAACAUUUAGUACGAAUGCUUCCCUUGAGAUAUUUGAAUUAGACCUCUCUGAUCCAUCCUUGGAUAUGAAAUCUUGUGCCACAUUCUCCUCUUCUCACAGGUACCACAAGUUGAUUUGGGGGCCUUAUAAAAUGGAUUCCAAAGGAGAUGUCUCUGGAGUUCUGAUUGCAGGUGGUGAAAAUGGAAAUAUUAUUCUCUAUGAUCCUUCUAAAAUUAUAGCUGGAGACAAGGAAGUUGUGAUUGCCCAAAAUGACAAGCAUACUGGCCCAGUGAGAGCCUUGGAUGUGAACAUUUUCCAGAGAUUAAUACUCUAUGAAAUAAUUAGAAAUUAAAUGUAAUGGCUGGGCAUGUGGCUCACACCUGUGUAAUCCCAGCACUUUGAGAGGCCGAGGCAGGCAGAUCACGAGGUCAGGAGUUCGAGACCAGCCUGGCCAACGUGGUAAAACCCCGUCUCUACUAAAAAUACAAAAAUUAGCCGGGCAUGGUGGCAGGCACCUGUAAUCCCAGCUAUUCGGGAGUCUGAGGCAGGAUAAUCGCUUGAACCCGGGAGGCGGAGAUCGCCGUGAGUUGAGAUCGUGCCAUUGCACUCCAGCCUGGGCAACGAGCAAAACUCAAAAAAAGAAAAAAAGAACAAAGAAAUGUAAUGCAGAUUUAACAAAUAGUCAAUUAAGAUUCUUUGUACUGUUGCCUUCAUAAACAUUUCUGGUUGUUAAUUAUACAAAUGCACAGCUUAAUAACGAUCUUAGCCUGAACAGGAUGGUGAAACCCUGUCAUUACAAAA
This 934-nucleotide small RNA is filed under the name Pan troglodytes (chimpanzee). RNAcentral describes it as "processed transcript". The record is from RNAcentral. Lineage: Eukaryota; Metazoa; Chordata; Mammalia; Primates; Hominidae.